This 239-nucleotide ribosomal RNA is filed under the name uncultured bacterium. Its description in RNAcentral is "partial 16S ribosomal RNA". It matches the Rfam family "Bacterial small subunit ribosomal RNA", at positions 15 to 244 of the family's 1533-position model. The record is from RNAcentral.
GAUCCUGGCUCAGGACGAACGCUGGCGGCGUGCCUAAUACAUGCAAGUAGAACGCUGAAAAGAGGAGCUUGCUCUUCUUGGAUGAGUUGCGAACGGGUGAGUAACGCGUAGGUAACCUGCCUUGUGGCGGGGGAUAACUAUUGGAAACGAUAGCUAAUACCGCAUAACAAUGGAUGACACAUGUCAUUUAUUUGAAAGGGGCAAUUGCUCCACUACAAGAUGGACCUGCGUUGUAUUAG